RNAcentral lists this long non-coding RNA (9980 nucleotides) under Salvia miltiorrhiza (redroot sage). RNAcentral's name for it is "long non-coding RNA (SMIL_LNC006918)". The record is from RNAcentral. Lineage: Eukaryota; Viridiplantae; Streptophyta; Magnoliopsida; Lamiales; Lamiaceae.
CUUCCUCAAAAACACCCAUAUACAAAAAGCAUGGCUUCAAAUAGUUGGGCAGAUAGGUAUAGCUCAUUCGCAAUAUUUUCAAGCAAAAUUCAUCAUUAUUCGUAAUCACAAUUGAAUUUAAAUUUUGCUCUAUACGCACCCAAUAUUCUCUAGUGCGCUCAGAUUUUGCCAAAAGACCUCCAAUUGUAGCAAUUGAUAAAGGAAGCCCUUUACAAUUUGCUACAAUAUUCUUUCCAAUGUUCUCCAACUCAUGAGGGAAACUUUCUCCCCCAAACACAGUGUUGGUGAACAAAUCCCAACUACUAGCCUCAUCUAGAAAUUUCAUACCAACGCCAUAAGACUCUCUCAACUGCGAAGUCAAGUUUGACAGCCUAGUUGUUACAAUGAUUCGACUCCCAUCAUUGCAAUCAGGAAAGGAAGACCUGAUCUUGUCCCACACCUCUAUACUCCACAUAUCAUCCAUAAUUAUGAGAUACCUCCUACCCCAAAAUAUGUAUAGUUUUAAUCCCAAUUGUCCUCACUGAUAGUGAUUUUGCCCCAAUUGUUCUCACUCAAUCACAUCCGGAUCCCCAGUUGCUUGGAAAAGAACUUCCUAAGUGUUUCUCUCACAUUAUAAGUUUGAGAAAUGUAGUCCAAGCACAAAUAUCAAAAUGCUUUUAACAAGCGCAUGCUCAAAUACAUGUCGGGCAAGAGUGGUCUUACCAAUGCCGCCCAUCCCCAUAUUGGGAUGAUUUGGCGACUGUUGGCCUCCGGUGAGCUUAUCCAGCACUUAAGUAACACCUCUCGAAGCCCACCAUAUGUUUCCUUCACAGUGGAAGGGACCAGCAUGAGUCUUGAGAGACCUUUCUCUGCAGUUGACGCUCGGUGCAAUCUCCAUGGCUUCCUUCUUGAUCAAAUUCAUUUCUUCUAUCACUUGUUGUAGAUCGUGAUAGAAGUCCUCCUCAAUAGUUGCGCAUUUACACAGAGCUCGAAACAAGUUGAUAAAACUGGACAUCUUCCCACGAAUUGUGGAUCGGUUAUGAAUUUGAAGCACAAUUUGGGAUUCGAUGACAUCCUCAGCUGCAUAAACUGCAUCAGCAAUGCGACGCUCCAAUGGAUCCGCCUCAUGGUCAUCCACAACUGGGGAAAUAUAAGCAUCAAGAAAAUCCUGCAAGAAGGUAACAUUUUCAGUGAGAGAUUCAACUUGCUGUUUGUGGAUAGAAAUUGGAGGGGAAGGAUGUUUUUCAAGGCGAUCUAUGAUAUGCAUAAGAGAAACCAGAGCUCCAUAAGCCGCCAUGAUUAACACUUUGAAUAAUGUAUAUAUUUAUGGGAAGUGCGAACGAAAAUAUCUGAUACUAAUAUUUGAGAGGUGAAAGAAGGCAAUUAGCUAAUCAGGUAUUAUGAUUCGACAAUUGAGAUUUGAAACUUUUUAUAGCAGAUACAGAUGAACAAGUCAUGUGCAACAUUAUUGAAAUCAAUAAAAUAAGCUGCAGUUGUUGGAUUCAAACUUUUUUAUAUGUGCACCUAACGUGGCUUACUUAUAAUUAUAGACGUCGCUCUUAAAAUAUAACCACUGCCAUUAAUUCAAUUAAUUACAUGUUUGCUGCUAAUCAAACUUAUUGCUGGUGUUUGAUGUUGACUUUCACUAGCAUCGAUGAAAAACGAUUAUCGAUGAUUGAAUUAGUUUAUGAUGCGAAGCAGUCCUUGCAUCGAUGAAAUAUUAUAAUUGAAAGAUUAAGAUAUUUUGAUAAACUAGCAGAAAGAAAUAUAUAUAUAAAUAUAGAUAUAAUAUUGUCAUAUUUAAAUUUUUUAUUAUCAUGUUUAGUCAAAUUUCAUAAUUUUAUAAAUAAAUAAAACAAACAAAUAAAAAGAUAAAGAAAAUAUUACCACGUAAUUUUGAAAUUGAUUUCAAAUUAGAAGUUAUCUUUUGAAUAGUAUAUUAUCAAUUUUCUUAUUUUUGAAAGAAUAUAUUUCAUUUAUUUUGCAGCUUAUAAUUUCAGUUAUGGGCUAAAAAAAUUUACUGGUGUCCAAGUUUGUUUGGGAACUUUACUUUUAGCCCAACCAUCAAAGUCUUGGGUCGGCCCAGACAGACUGCAUUCUGCUUCUCAUUCUUCAUUUUAGGGUCACAAUAAAAUUUAGCAACAUUUUAUAAGAUAUUGAAGCUUAUAAAUUAAGUAUUUUUUGAAGUGUUUGAAAAUAAAUAUUUAAAAAAAGAAAAGAAAAAAAAAUGAUCUAGUUUAUUUAAUUUGGUCUCGCAAAAUAUUAUACUAGUGGCUUUAUAAAAAAUUGUUAAGGAUCGACUAGGUGUUUUUUUAAAAUGUAAUGUUAGGGUGGCAAGUGGUGUAUACCUUAUCUUUUAAUAUAGUGUAUAUUAUUAUUUAUUAUAGUUUUUUCUCUGAAUAUUACUCUAUGUACCAACAAUAACCUUAUGAAUUAUUUUCUAUAAAUUAAAAACUUAAAGAAAAUAUUCAUACCGUGCAUGUACGGGUAUAAUACCAGUUUGUAGAAAAGAAGAAAAUCAACAGACUACCAAUUUGACCAAACAUUGACCUAUUGACUAGACUUUUGAUUCUUUAGUCCCAUCAUCAUUUCUGGCCAAGUCCUGAAAAAACUAUAGAAUUAAAUGGUUUCAUAUUUUUUUUUUUCUGAAUUACAAGAUGUAUCUAAUAUAAAUCAAAUAAAUAAUUAACUAGCACACAGGCGAGACCCCUACACCACAUAAAAAUAAAAAAAUAACCGCACGCAGUCGAAAUUACUAUCACACAAAAUGAGAAAACUAAAUUACCAAUUUAAAUCUAGCAAUUGACGUUGUUGACCAAGACCAAAAAUCUUUAUAAAGAAAUAGUCUCUUAUUUAUAUUAUGACUAGCAUUUGCAUCUCGUCGCAAUGCACGGAAAAAUAUUUUUUAUUUAUAUUUUUAUAUUUAUAUAAAAGUGAUACCAACUCAAUUAUCAUAUUAUAUACGUCAUAUUUAGUCAAAUUUCAUAAUUUUAGAAAUAAAUAAAACAAACAAAUAAAAAGAUAAAGAAAAAAUUACCACUUAAUUUUGAAAUUGAUUUCAAAUUAGAAGUUAUCUUUUUAAUAGUAUAUUAUCAAUUUUCUUAUUUUUGAAAGAAUAUAUUUCAUUUAUUAUCACACCAUUUUUGGAGGGAUAAUAUUAUCCUUCCUUUGUAGUGUAAAUGAGGAAUGAGUAAGGGUCAAGUAAGAAAUGUGGGUAAAAAAAAAAAGGAUUUAAAGGGUGAAAUUUUGUUUAUCAUUCAUUUUCCCAUGAUAAAUUAAUUUACAACCAAAGAGAACGCACCCUUAUAGGAUAUUGAAGCUUAUAAAUUAAGCCUGUUUUGAAGUGUUUGAAUAUAAAUAUUUACAAAAAGAAAAGAAAAGAAAAAAGGAUCUAGCUAGUUUGUUUCUUUGUUUAAUUUGCUCUCCCAAAAUAUUAUACUACUAUGUUUGUAGCUUUAAGCACUUUUGUAAACAAUAUUUUAUAAUGAGUGUUCUGUACAAAAAGAAAAGAAAAAAAGGAUCUACUUUGUUUAAUUUGUUCUGUACAAAAAGAAAAAAGAAAAAAAAAAUCCAAACUCGAGAUUCUCCAUGAUAACGAUAUCAUCACUCGGACGAUCUGGGAGAAUCAAUCCUGCUUCCACAAACUCGAGAUGCCUAAGUUGAUGCAAUUUCCAUAUCUCAAUCGGAGCAAUAAGAUCAUGCUUGGAAUGAACUAUUAACGUAUAUAGAUUGCAGAGCAAUUUGAUUGAAGAAGGGAAUUUGGACUCCUGAUGAAGUCUAACAGCAAGGUGCCGUGAGUUCACCAGUUGAAAAACAUUGUCUAGGAAAUUAAAACCAUGUCCCUCCUUAUCAUCUUUUGAAUACAAUCGAGCUGUUUCUCUAUCAUAUGAUUUGAAUGUUCUCAACAAUCUAAGAUUGUGAGGCCUUUCAAAGUUUCUCCCCUCACCAUUACAUAUUAUCGAACGAGCAUGUGACCAAGAUCUCGAGACUUCACUUAUGACCCAACUUCCAGCAUUUUUAAAAACAACCCGACGAUGUUCGUUAUCUAUGACUAAAGGAGACUUUUCUAUGAUACGAUAAAACCUCUCCUUUUCAACUUCUUUUAAGCACACGUCCCUCAACAAAUCAUGAAUCUUACAAAACUUUACAUUUCCACUAAACCCCAACUUAUCAACUAUUAUGAGAUUUCUAUCCACCAACUCUAUUAAGUACUCCUGCGCAAUUGUUUCCAAGCAUUUUCCACUACUCAUCGGUUUCAAAAAUCCUUCUGAAACCCAUAGCUUCUUCAGCAUUGAGGCACGAAUUCUAUGAUCUUCCUCAAAAACACCCAUAUACAAAAAACAUGGCUUCAAAUAGUUGGGCAGAUAUGUAUGGGAAGUGUGAAUGAAAUAUAUGAGGUGAUAUUUGAGAGGUGAAAGAAGAGAACCAAUCUUUUGUGCUAAGAUGAAAGAAGGCAAUUUGCUAUCCGGUAAAGUGAAUUGGAUCCACUCAUGAUAAUGAAAUUCAUUUAUCAGAAAAAUGAUGAAGCCAUGUGCAGCAUUGAUUUAAAUAUCUGCAGUUGUCGGAAUAAGCAGGUCCCUCUUAAAAUAUAACCACUGUCAUUAAUUUAAUUAAUUACAUGUUUGUUGCUAAACUUAUUGCUAGGAUCGAUGUUGACGGUCACAAGGAUCGAUGAUUGAAACUAUAACAUUUCAAAUAACACUAUGAGAUUUCAAAUGACACUACAUUCGACAUAUUAAUGAUACAAUAAUAUUUUAAUAUUUGAAAUGACAAUUUAACAUUACAAAUGACUCUUUUGAUUCAAAUGGCACUAUAAUAUUUCAAGUGACAUUACAAGAUUUCAAAUGACACAUUGACAUUUCAAAUUACACUACUCCGACAUACAAAUGACACUAAUUCUAUCACUUUCAAAAUAAGUAAGAGAUGAUUGUACAGUAUAAUAACAUGAGAUGUCUCUUAAGUUUACAACACAGAAGUGGAAAGACCUCUGCUGUGUGGUGGCAGAGCGACAGUGGCAGCGAUUGAGGCGGCCGGCAGUGGGUUGCUGUCGCCGUAUUCAGCUGCACCGUUAUCUUCCCCAGCGAUCGGCCGCCGUUCAGGCCGCAUAUAGCCCCGCGGCGGCCGGAGUAGACCGAGAUUUUGAGCUGCGGCAGAUUGGAGAGAGUGAAGACUGAAGAGGGAGGAUUUGCUGAGUUGGAAGCUGGAUAAGCAAUAAUUUUUUUAUAAUAUAAAUGGUUCUGGGUCAGGGUCACCAAUGUGGGCAGGGUACAACCCGGUUUUUCUAUAAAACCAGUUUCACACCAGAUUUUUGUGUUUAUUUAAAUAGUGAGUUAUUGAUAUAAUUAAUAAUCUAUAUUUUGGGGGCAAGAUAGAUGUAUAUAUAUGCUCGAAAAAUCGGAAGUAAACAAUACAAGGACUGCAUCGCACCUACUCGAUCGGGAACUUCAUGACAGAGCGGAUCAUCAUAAACUAAUUCAAUCAUAUCGAUGCUCGUGACAGUCAACAUCGAUAACCAACAAUAAGUUUAGCAACAAACAUGUAAUUAACUAAAUUAAUGACAGUCUUAUUCCGACAACUGCAGCAUAUUUAAAUGAAUGCUGCACAUGGCUUCUUCAUUUUUAUGAUAAACACAAUUUCAUUAUCACGUGUAAUUUCCAGUUCACUUUACCAGAUUGCUAACAUCUCUCAUAUAUUUUAAUUCACACUUCCACAAAUAUAAAAAUUCUGUGUCUGCAUUCAAAGAGUUUAUCAUGGCCGCUUAUGGAGCUCUGCUUUCUCUUAUGCAUAUCAUAGAUCGUAUUGAAAAUCAUCCUUCCCCUCCUAUUUCUAUCGACAAACAGCAAGUUGAAUCUCUCACUCAAAAUGUUGGCUUCUUGCAGGAUUUUCUUGAUGCUUAUAUUUCCCCAGUUGUAUUAUCAUUAUUUUAAGCUUUUGUAUUAUCAUUAUUUUAAGCACAUUUAAGCUUAAAAGAGAAAAAGAAGCUUAAAAUAAUGAUAAUACAAAAAAGAAACAAAAAAAAUUACAAAAAAGUUGACAUGGCAGUUCACAUCAGCAACGGGCUCUAGGUGGCAUCAAAAGUCCGAAUAAUUAAUUUUAGGCCCAAAACAGGAGUGUAAAUGCAAAAAAAAAAUUAUAGUCCUUAUUUUCAAAAUCCGUAACUUAUAGUCAUUUUUCUAAAAAUCCUGAAAGUUACGGUCCUAUUUUUACCAUUAGGUCUGGAGACGAUAGUGGUUUGAUCUGUUGAUUUGUUAUUAAUUAACAAAUCAUGUCAGUAUGUUUGCUUCAUUAGGGUUGCCUCUUAAACUUGAUCUAGAAAUUAACUUGUUAGGCUUUAAAAGUUAAUAAUUUAUUUUUCUUCACCCUAAUGUUAUUCAUAUAUAGUAACAAUCGAAAAUUAAUACUAUAGCUCCAUACAACAAUAUCAUGUGAUUAUUUCGUCAGUUGUGGGAGGGGGAGCAAUGUGGGUUUCACCUAAGUCCUCUUUCAUUUACAUAAGUCUACCAUCUUGGCAUAUUGUAAUGAGAUUUAAUUUUAUAGACUGUCACUGUUAAGUCAUGAAAUUUAUGCCCAUUUCAAUUGGAAAAAAAAUAAAGCUUUAAUCCUAUAAUUUGGAUUAUUAUUAGAAUUUCUCGGAUUAUUGNUAAAAAUUCUGUGUCUGCAUUCAAGAGUAUAUCAUGCCGCUUAUGGAGCUCUGGUUUCUCUUAUGCAUAUCAUAGAUCGUAUUGAAAAUCAUCCUUCCCCUCCAAUUUCUCUCGACAAACAGCAAGUUGAAUCUCUUACUGAAAUUGUUACCUUCUUGCAAGAUUUUAUUGAUGCUUAUAUUUCCCCAGUUGUAUUAUCAUUAUUUUAAGCUUUUGUAUUAUCAUUAUUUUAAGCACAUUUAAGCUUAAAAGAGAAAAAGAAGCUUAAAAUAAUGAUAAUACAAAAAAGAAACAAAAAAAAUUACAAAAAAGUUGACAUGGCAGUUCACAUCAGCAACGGGCUCUAAGUGGCAUCAAAAGUCCGAAUAAUUAAUUUUAGGCCCAAAACAGGCGUGUAAAUGCAAAAAAAAAAAUUAUAGUCUUAUAGUCCUUAUUUUCAAAAUCCGUAACUUAUAGUCAUUUUUCUAAAAAUCCUGAAAGUUACGGUCCUAUUUUUACCAUUAGGUCUGGAGACGAUAGUGGUUUGAUCUGUUGAUUUGUUAUUAAUUAACAAAUCAUGUCAGUAUGUUUGCUUCAUUAGGGUUGCCUCUUAAACUUGAUCUAGAAAUUAACUUGUUAGGCUUUAAAAGUUAAUAAUUUAUUUUUCUUCACCCUAAUGUUAUUCAUAUAUAGUAACAAUCGAAAAUUAAUACUAUAGCUCCAUACAACAAUAUCAUGUGAUUAUUUCGUCAGUUGUGGGAGGGGGAGCAAUGUGGGUUUCACCUAAGUCCUCUUUCAUUUACAUAAGUCUACCAUCUUGGCAUAUUGUAAUGAGAUUUAAUUUUAUGACUGUCACUGUUAAGUCAUGAAAUUUAUGCCCAUUUCAAUUGGAAAAAAAAUAAAGCUUUAAUCCUAUAAUUUGGAUUAUUAUUAGAAUUUCUCGGAUUAUUAUCCCAGAAUAAUAAUUACCUGAAUAAUAAUCAUGAGUUAUUAAAUAACAGAUUCUCAUUAAUCGAGAAUUUGCUUGAGACAUUUAUCUUACCUUAUAUUCUCGGAUUAAAGGUCAAUCACAAGAGUGAGAGCUAGUCAAGGAGUCACUGAACUGUAGCAAAGCUUUGUUGAGGAAUGUCAAUCGGGCCAGCUCUAUAGGGUUUCGGAUUAAUCGGGUGCGGGCUAAUCGGGCUGAGGAUUUUGUCGGGUUAUAAAUUUUCAACCCUAACCCUAAACGUUCGGGUUUCGGGCUAGCCCAUCGGGCUAAUCGAGUUGAAGGCGUAAAAAUAAAAUAAUCAUUUAUAUUUUGUUAUUCUUAAUGAUCUAAUGUAUAAUUAAUGUAUAAAAUAUACAUAGAAAUCAAAGAUAUAAAUUAUAUAGCAAGCAUGAAAUGCAAAAAUAUAAGAUGUUGAAGAAAAAAAAUCAAGAUUACAUAACAUAUAAAAUAAGUUGGUAACAAUAAAAUGUUCAACUUUGUUAAAGAAAAAAUAAUAAAAUAUCCAACAAUAGUUUGAACUCAUAGAAUCAAAGCAUCUCAAAAAUACAAAAAAAUGAAACGAUGAGACUUUAUAAUAUUUUGUCAUGUUUUAAUUUUUAUAUCUAAAUAUUUUAUGUUAAGUAUUCGGGUUUCGGGCUAGCCCAUCGGGAACAAUAGAUAGAGUUGUGGAGAUAGCUUACAGUAAUGAAUUGAAGCAACAAAAGCUCAAAGUUUUAUAAGCUUACGAAACAAAAGGUCUGAACUUGUAACUAACAAUCUUGGAUGAUUCUAAUAAGCUCUCACUGUAACUUCAAAGUUGGGACUUGCUAAGCUCUGCAGUCUUUCGUGUGCUUUUGGAACCAUAGCUCGAACAUGAAGGUCUAGUUGGUCUCCUUGGAAAUCCUCUUGUUCUUCUACUAUACCGCUGAUUCACUGCAAUCUUCCAAAUAAAUUGAUUUCAGCGUUGGUAUCUCACCAACUUCGGAAGGGAUCUCCUCCAAUUCAUCCAAACUUCGAAGACGAAGCUCCUGCAGAACUCGAAAGUGGGAGCUCUGUCCCAUCGUCCAACUUUUUAGACCUUGACAGAAGUUCAAUUGUAGUAGCUUGAGGCUCUGGAAUUGGCCCUCAAUAGUGUCCCACUUGCCUGUUUUGAAGGUACCACGAUGUAAUACUAACUUGUGAAGAAGGGGCAACCACCCUAUCUUUUCCAAUAUCUCUUCCAACUCCGCAUGAUAAUAGAGAAAUAAGUUCAACUUCUUGAGAGAGUGUGGGAAAGUAAGCCUCUGCAAAUACUCAUCAUAUCCAUAAUGGAAGCGGCAUAACAAGUUUUCCAAUUUACUCAGACACUCAAGAUAGCUAAAAGAGUUUGCUCUCUCCGUUUGUUUCACUUUACUCAAACCCUUGUAUUUGUAAAUUAGACGCAAUUUCUUGACAUUGGGAAUUCUUUGAACCACCUCCUCAUUCAAAUACAAAUUCAUUACUCCUUUGAGCGUUUGUAGAUUCUCCAUGAUAACCAUCUCACUCGGAGGAUCUGGUAGAAUCAAUCCUUCUUUCACAAACUCAAGAUGCCUAAGUUGAUGCAAUUUCCAAAUCUCAAUCGGUGCAACAACUUCACGCCAAUAUUCUGAAUCAGACUCAUAAACUAUUAACGUAGAUAGAUUCCAAAGCAAAUUGAUUGAAGACGGGAAUUUGGUCACCGAAUGAACUCUAACAGCAAGGUGCCGUGAGUUCACCAAUUGAAAAACAGCGCCUACGAAAUGAAGACCACCUCUAUAUGAAUCUUUAUCAUAUGCUUUGAAUGUUCUCAACAAUCUAAAAUUGUGAGGCCUUUCAAAGUUUAUCCCAUCGUCAUCACAUAUUAUAGAACGAGCAUGUGACAAAGAUCUCGAGACUUCACUUAUUACCCCUCUUCCACCAUUUUGAAAAACAACCCGACGACGUUCAUUAUCUAUGACUGAAGGAGACUUUUCUAUGAUAUGAUAAAACCUCUCUUUUUCAACUACUUUCAAGCACAUGUCCCUCAACAAAUCAUGAAUCUUACAAAACUUUACAUUUCCACUAACCCCCAACUUAUCAACUAAAAUCAGAUUUCUAUCUACCAACUCCUUCAAGUACUCUUCUCCUAUUGUUUCCAAACAUUUUCCACUCACGGGUUUUAAAAUUCCUUCUGAAACCCAUAGCUUCUUCAGCAUUGAGACACGAAUUGAACGAUCUUCCUUAAAAACACCCAUAUACAAAAAACAUGGCUUCAAAUAGUUGGGUAGAUAGGUAUAGCUCAUUCGCAAUAUUUUCAAGCAAAAUUCAUCAUUAUUCGUAUUCACAAUUGAAUUUAAAUUUUGCUCUAUACGCAUCCAAUAUUCUGUAGUGCGCUCAGAUUUUGCCAAAAGACCUCCAAUUGUAGCAAUUGAUAAAGG